Long non-coding RNA from Drosophila virilis, 1714 nucleotides. RefSeq lists it as uncharacterized. NCBI's taxonomy places the organism in Eukaryota, Metazoa, Arthropoda, Insecta, Diptera, Drosophilidae. The record is from RefSeq and is a predicted model, not a curated record.
UUUUUUGCGUUUAUUUAUUUAUUUUUUUUUGUUUUUUUGGUUUUUGGUUUUUGCUUCGUACACACCUGCGAUUAGUUAUUAGACAUAUGUGUGCUUUAACGAACCUAUGUAGUUGUGCCUGGGUAUUGCAUAUAGGAGUGUAGACAUGUAUACAUAUGCGAGCAUCUUUCACCGCUCCCUGUAGAGUCGUAAAGCCGCAUUGAAGCGCUUUUGUUUUCCUUUUGUUGCCGCUUUAUUCCCAGGCAUGUGCCCGAGCCGGCGUGUUGGUGCCAAGUCGCCGCUUGGUACCGCCAGCUCCCUAUCGGAGAGAGAGCAAAUCAAGUUGCUUGAAUCGCUUUGAGAGUUACGAAAAACAAAAAAAAAAAAAACUGUAAAAAUCCCCAUAAUAAAAAGAAAAUUUUAAUUUGUAGGCGUAACCGAUGCUUAACAAUUUUGAAUUUCAAAUGGAUGCAUAAAUAUUCCUGCACUAUUGCGCAGUAGACAUUAAUAAUGGCUGCUUUCUGCGAAAACCAAAUCGAAUUAGCAUCAGUGACAGAUCCGAGAAUUAACGUGCAUGCUUAUUAAAACGAUUUAGUUUGAUUAUAAUUAUUAGAAAUAUUCUUAGGUUACAACAGCGGCCGCCAAAGUCGAAUCCUAUUAGAGCUUUAAGCUAAGCUCAGCUCGAUUUAAUUUAUUUGUAAUUUGUUCAAGCUCUAAAAAAGCGUAGUAGCUUUUCUUUAACUUAUUGCGACAGGUCAAAACUUAUAGGAACUGCUCUAAGUGCUCUACGACUUUGAACUUGAUCUCUAAUAUUGUUAAAUAAUCAUGUAGAUGAGCGCAGAAACCAGAAAAGUGAGUUUUUGAAAAUGGCAAUUCCCAAAUACGUUUAGUUCGCACAGGUUAAAUAAUUAAGAUAAUGCGCACAUUUGCUGAGACAAUAAAAUUCCCAGAAAUUUCAUUAAUUUCUCGACCAAAAUCAAAGUUUUUGCUUGUGAACCUCACAUUAUAUAGUAUAAAGAUUGGAUCUAUUUUUCGACUGCUUCGUAACUCUGCUGUGUUUAAUUGAAACUGCUCCCCGGAUUAUUAUAUGCAAAUCGGCAACUGACUUUUGAAUUUGGGAACGAAAACAAACAAAACAGUCCAAAAUCUAAACAAAUGAAAGUCAUGCGGAGUUUGAAGCUGGCAAUUAGUGGAGCUCUGACAGCUCCGACCGCAAAUGCUGGGGAUGCUGUAAUGUCCAAGACGUCUCAUGGGAACUGGGAGUGAGGCGUGCUGCGGUGAUUGGCGGGAUGGUGUUGGCAUUGGCGUUGGCGUUGGCGUUGGCUUCGUGCAUUGGGCGACUGGUUGCAUAAACCCUAAGCUGAAAAAGAAAUUUAAUAACUAAUAACUCAAUGUGAACUGAGAGCUGAAGCUCAAAGCUUGUGCGGCGACUGCGUUUGUUGGCUUGUGACAUUUCGAAUAUAAAAAUUAUGUAAUUACGGUAGGAAAAACAACAACAACAAAAAAAACAUAAAUAAACUCAAGAUUGCAUAAUCACAGCGGUCAAACGCCGGUCCGGGCAUUGGGUCAUUGAGAUACAGCUAAUAAACGAGCGUCUAGCAUGAUAUAAACUAUUAGUAAGGCGAAUGUAAAAUCAACAAAGCAGCCCGUCCCAAUCAAACUACGGAUGUUUUUGUAUACGUAUGCCAACAUUUAUAAGAAUUAAAUAAUAGACAAUGAUUAUACAAAAAAAAAA